GCGGGUUUACGACCUCGAUGUUGGAUCAGGGUAUCCCAGUGGUGCAGCCGCUACUAAAGGUUCGUUUGUUCAACGAUUAAAACCCUACGUGAUCUGAGUUCAGACCGGAGUAAUCCAGGUCAGUUUCUAUCUAUAAGGAGCUUUUUCUAGUACGAAAGGACCGAAAAAACAUGGCCUAUGCAUAAUACAAGCCAUAUUUAAUAAUUUAUGAUUAAAACUCAAUAAAUACUUAACCUAUUACUUAACUCUAAGCAAGAGUAGUU
Molecule: ribosomal RNA, 263 nt
Filed under: Hyla annectans (Assam treefrog)
Lineage: Eukaryota; Metazoa; Chordata; Amphibia; Anura; Hylidae
Description: partial 16S ribosomal RNA
Rfam family: Bacterial large subunit ribosomal RNA
Source: RNAcentral